AUUGAACGCUGGCGGCAUGCCUUACACAUGCAAGUCGAACGGCAGCGGGGGGAGAAGCUUGCUUUUCCUGCCGGCGAGUGGCGAACGGGUGAGUAAUACAUCGGAACGUGCCCUGUAGUGGGGGAUAACUAGUCGAAAGAUUAGCUAAUACCGCAUACGACCUGAGGGUGAAAGUGGGGGACCGCAAGGCCUCAUGCUAUAGGAGCGGCCGAUGUCUGAUUAGCUAGUUGGUGGGGUAAAGGCCUACCAAGGCGACGAUCAGUAGCUGGUCUGAGAGGACGAUCAGCCACACUGGGACUGGGACACGGCCCAGACUCCUACGGGAGGCAGCAGUGGGGAAUUUUGGACAAUGGGCGAAAGCCUGAUCCAGCAAUGCCGCGUGUGUGAAGAAGGCCUUCGGGUUGUAAAGCACUUUUGUCCGGAAAGAAAUGGCUCUGGUUAAUACCUGGGGUCGAUGACGGUACCGGAAGAAUAAGGACCGGCUAACUACGUGCCAGCCGCCGCAGUAA
This 509-nucleotide ribosomal RNA is filed under the name uncultured bacterium. RNAcentral describes it as "partial 16S ribosomal RNA". It matches the Rfam family "Bacterial small subunit ribosomal RNA", at positions 30 to 523 of the family's 1533-position model. The record is from RNAcentral.